This 327-nucleotide long non-coding RNA is filed under the name Equus caballus (horse). RNAcentral describes it as "lncRNA (ENSECAG00000052570.1)". Lineage: Eukaryota; Metazoa; Chordata; Mammalia; Perissodactyla; Equidae. The record is from RNAcentral.
GCAAGCCCUCCUUCUACAGAAACUCGUCCUUCCAGAGCAAGCCCCAACUCAUGAGAGCUCUCUUAAGGCCGAGUCCUUAAAGUCUCUCCACAGAGAAUUACAAAAGCAAAGAAUUUCACACUUGGAAGGAAACUUAAAGACCAUCUAGUCCAACUGAUGUAGUUUACUGGCGAGGAACUUAAGCUGAGUGGAGGCAAAGAAUCACACUUCAGAACAUCAGAUACGUGCAAAUACAUGAAUGAAUGAACGAAACAGAAGAAAAACCACAGGAUUGUUGACAUUAUCAAGAUACUUUUAGUCCUAGGAAAGGAAGAAGGAAAAGAAAAA